CAGGCUUAGAAUCCCGUAACUUCUUUCUGAUCCCAGGGCCCAUGGUGUCUCUGAAGCUAUUGCGUAGUUACUCCAGCUUACUUUUCUACUGCUGCCAAAGUAACUAGGGGCCAGGAAGAGAGUUCUAUGUAGAAUUCUGAGUGACUUGCUCAUUCUAUUUGAUUAUCUGUGUGUGUGUAUGUGCACUCUUCUUGAUUUGAAAACAAACCUCCAGUCCUCUGUUUGAAUUUAAGCAGCAAUAAACCAAUGACAAUAAUUCCACUCACAUUUGUCUAGAACUCUCCAUUAAGAGGAGGACUGUGGAAGAAAGUCCAACAAAAGGGACUGAAAAGGGACAAUCAGACUGAAGGAAAGAAAGUACGACUGACUAUUACCAAGGAGUUUCAAUCCUUGACACAAUCAUCUAUGGCAAGGAGAAAGGAUGAGUGGAACAAGGAGAACUCUGUGAGUGGGGAACCUUCCACAGUAGGUUUUGUAACACUCAAGAAGUACAUGAAAGAGGCCUCUUUCAUCAAGUAUUCUUAAGUUAUGAAAAUGGAAUUGAAGCAUAUUUUCCCCCUUCGUAUGAGAGAGAACUUACGUGAAAUCAAGUAUUCGCGAUUUUUCAGAACUGCAUAUGGAGAAGUUGCUGAAAUUCAAUCUUGCUUCCAGAUAAAGUCAGCACAGCAUUACCCAGUUAUUAUGUAGCAUUUCCAUGCAAACUAAUAAAUAGUAUUUCAACUUAAAAUUUCGGUUUUUAAUCUAGAUGUAACUUAAAAACUCUUACAAGUAAAAACUCUUAGAAGUAAGCAUUCUUGUCCAUCAGAAGUUUGUACAGAAAAAGCAAAUUCAAAGGGACAAAUAUGGGCAGUGCCUUCCAGCACUGACAGGGGGAAAAGAUCCUGGCUCAAGAACACAGGUCUCUAGGCAAUGAAGCAAGUGUAUCCCUCAAGAGAGAAGAAUGCAUUAAGUUGUCAUGGCUUUGAAACAUCAGCCAUUUACACCUCCCAACUUAUUCCCCUGGUUCUGAACCCAGAUUCACUUGGUAACCAUUCCAUUGCUUAUAAUUCUUCUUUGCAUAUACUUGUAUCUGUAUCUACAUCUAUACCUACAGGGACAAAAUACAGCAGUCAAUAUAACUCAUUAGCUUGAUGGAUGUAUUUCUUAUUGUAAACUAAUAUAUUGGCAUUCUGAGAUAAAAAAGCUUUUUUAUUCAUGUGAAUAUUGUCAGUGAGAUCAUUUUAAAGUCACAUAACUCUCAGCCACACAUACGGAGGUAGAAGUUCCGUUUCUGGAACAUGAGACUAGAAAUUG
This 1293-nucleotide long non-coding RNA is filed under the name Equus caballus (horse). Its description in RNAcentral is "lncRNA (ENSECAG00000058809.1)". The record is from RNAcentral. Lineage: Eukaryota; Metazoa; Chordata; Mammalia; Perissodactyla; Equidae.